UACGACUACAUAUCAGGCAUAUCAAUAAGCGGAGGAAAAGAAACUAACAAGGAUUCCCUUAGUAACGGCGAGUGAAGCGGGAAGAGCUCAAAUUUGAAAUCUUCAAGGUUCUACCUUGACGAAUUGUAGUUUAAAGAAGUGUUUUCUGUUAGAUGAGUAGCAAAAGUUCCUUGGAAUGGGACAUCAUAGAGGGUGAGAAUCCCGUAUUUGGUUAUUCAUUCUAGCUUUGUGAUACACUUUCAAAGAGUCGGAUUGUUUGGGAAUGCAGUCCAAAAUGGGUGGUAAAUUUCAUCUAAAGCUAAAUAUUGGCGAGAGACCGAUAGCGAACAAGUACCGUGAGGGAAAGAUGAAAAGAACUUUGAAAAGAGAGUUAAACAGUACGUGAAAUUGUCAAAAGGGAGGCGUUUGACUACCAGUGUUGUUUUUCCGAAAAUCAAUUACGAAUGGCUUGAUUUUGUGUUGUAUUGACCUUAUCAGCUUUCUUCACUUUUUUCGAGUCUUUCUUAAUGCACUUUUCGGUUAACAAGUCAACAUCAAUUUCUUUUGUCGUAAAAGAGUAUUCGGAAGGUGGCUUUCUUUUCGGAGAAAGUGUUUAUAGCCCUAUACUUCUACAAUCGGAGAGAUUGAGGUCUGCAGCGUAGAUCCUUCGGGGUUAGAUACACUUGUGCUAAGUUGUAGCUUUUCAUAGACAACUUGUUGACUAUGUUUAGUCAUGCGGCUUACUCGCUUGUGCUAUUUUACCUACGCUUAGGAUGUUGAGUAGCGACAUACGCAC
Molecule: ribosomal RNA, 775 nt
Filed under: uncultured Neocallimastigales
Lineage: Eukaryota; Fungi; Neocallimastigomycota; Neocallimastigomycetes; Neocallimastigales
Description: partial large subunit ribosomal RNA
Rfam family: Eukaryotic large subunit ribosomal RNA
Source: RNAcentral